GUUUUUUAACUUCUCUUUUACUUUUCAUGUUCUGAGGACAGGUUGAGUUCAGGUUUCACGGUGGAGACGGAGACAUGUGAAAAGACUUCGUCAGGAGACAGAGGGGACAAAACAGGACGAGGUGUAGAGACGACGGUGGAAGGCGCCGGUGAAACUUCAGACCCUGACGUUGAAUCCUGCAGCUUUAAAAGCAGAACUUCUGAUCCGACUCCAACAUAUAACACGUAUUUAUUCUCCUUUCCUCAUUUAACUAAACGUGCUCUGAUCCUGUUAAAUUUCUGCUAAAAACACAAUAAACGGCGUCAUCGUUUUUCGUUUCUUCUUCAUGUCCCAGAUCAGUAACGUGGUGCGUUUGGCUUCAACGCUGAAGCUGUUUCAAUGUGAGGAAUAUGAGGACGUGUGUGAAAGCUAAUUUAUUAGACAGUAGAAGUGCAGGAGACUUGACAGCGUGAGCCACCGUGCAGAGGGCGUAAAUCCUGGUGUGUUUGGAGGAGGUGGUUUCUGCGGUUGCGAUGGCUCCGGUUCGGGGGCCGCGGCUUUGAUUUAGUCGGCCGUGACAGGAGCAGCCGUUAGGAGGCCAAAGGUGUGUUUGAAAACUGUGAGAAAAGCCUCAUAGCUCAGUCUGGGGAUCCGAUUCUGGACGUCAGGCCGUUAUUUCCUCAACAGUUCGACUGGAAAACGUUCAGAAUAAAAUUUACCGGAGCAGAUCCAGAUUAUCCUAAUGUUUGGGACGUAUUUCAAUGGUUAACCACCCGCACACACACACUUUACUUAAUGUUUGAUUUCCUGCAUAUUUCAUGUGAAUUUUAAACUUUAUUUAUUUAUUUUUUUGGUGAAUUUGACUUCUACCUCAUUCUAGUUUUAUUUUAUUUUAUUCUAACGUCCCUGCCCGGAUCAAUAAAGUGACGUUAGAGGAACU
This is a long non-coding RNA of Mugil cephalus (flathead mullet), 919 nucleotides long. RefSeq lists it as uncharacterized. The transcript has 2 exons. The record is from RefSeq and is a predicted model, not a curated record. NCBI's taxonomy places the organism in Eukaryota, Metazoa, Chordata, Actinopteri, Mugiliformes, Mugilidae.